UCUUUUAAAAGUUUUAAUAUAAAUGUUCAAAUAAAAUUUAUUAAAAUUAUAACUUCCAAAUAAUUUAAAAAAUUAAAUAAAUAAAAAUUAAAUUAUUAUUAAUCAUAUAAUAUUAAUAAUUAUUAAUUUUUAUUACAAUAAUAUGUUUUUAUGUUUUAUAAUUUUAUAAUUUUAUAAUAUGUAAAUAUUGAUAAUUUAUUAUUAAACCGCUGCAAUAUCUUAUAAUCAAUCAGUCACAAAUAUCCUGCAAACACAACAAUUUUUAAACGUUAUGCGAGUCAUACAAAACACUUAAUAACGCUUGAAACUGCAACCACCCGCAUAAAAAAUCUCCCGCAUCCACAACCACAAUUGUUGCGUUUGAACCAGUCGAGCCCUAAGUUUUCCACAUUACUAUUUUUACAAUUUGUUUCUCAUUAUGUUAAUAUAAAAAAAAUUCUCAAAAUGUUUUUUUUUAAAGAAAAUCACUUUCUAUAAUUUUCAACCUUUCUUUUUUUUAGGAACUGUUACAAAAAUAAAACUAACUAUCUUAUACUUUAUUUUAAAUAAUAAUUAUAUAUAUAUAUAUUUAAUUAUAUUUCAUUUUGGAUUUAAAAAAAAAAGGAAAUUGCUAUCAAAUACUUUAUGUUAGGUAUCUAUAAGAAAAUUUGGAAUCCCUUAUAUAUUAUUUGAGAAGCAUUGCAACAUUUUUUUGUAGCCACGUGUCAUCACUAGAAUGAUUUUUAGAAUCCUUAGAGAAAAUAAUUACUAUAAAAUAAUAGUUUAUGGUUAUUUGGUUUAUGAUUUAUGAACAGGAAAAUUACUUUCAAAUAAUUAUUUCGGUUACAUUUAAUUUUUUUUUGUGCGACACAUUUAAAUAUUUUUAUAGUUACUAUUUUUACAAUUUAUUUAUGCCACCAUCUUAGUAGGGAUUAUUGGUUGUUGAAUUUUAAUGGAUUUGAAAAUCCUAACUAAAUCUAAUGUUAUUGGUUCUAUAAUUUUCAAAUAUGUAUUAAAAUCAUGUGUUAUUGGUUUAAUGAUUCAUAAAUUCUAUAUCAAAUCAAGUGUUAUUCAAUCGUACGGAUUUCCUAAUAUAUUUGAUUUUAUAAUAGAUUUGAAUAGAUUUUUUUAGUUAAAAAUACAAAGACUGAAAUCUGAGGGAAAACCCAUGUUUUACUUGGAUUUAUAAAUACUAUAUGGAUUUAUAAAUCAAUCAAAAUAUAUAAACCAAUAACACCUAAAUAUAAUGUUUUCAUGAAGUUGUUUUUAAAAGGAAAAAUUACUUCAAAAACUUUCCAAUUUUCUUUUAAUUAGGAUUUAUAAAAAAAGAAAAUUAGUACUAAAUACUUUAUUUUAGAUAACUAUAAUUAUAUAUUUUCAGUUAUAUUUUGUUUUGAAUUAAAAAAAAUAUUAUCAAAUAUUUUAUUUACAAAAAGUUAAUAUUUUUAACACAUGUCACAAUAUUAUAUUUUAGUCGCCAUGUUUCACGAUUAUGUUAAUUGUCAACUUUUAAUAACCAAGCUUUAUAUAAUAAGAAAAUAAUAAUUAUAUACAUAUUUUAUUAUCCUUCAUUUUGGAUUUUUUUUAAAAAGGAAAUUACUAUCAAAUACUUCAUGUUAGGUAUCUAUAACGAAAAUUUGGAAUAAUUACUAUAAAACAAUAGUUUACAGUUAUAUUUGGUUUAUGAUUUAUGAAAAGGAAAAUUAUUUUCAAAUAAUUAUUUUCGGUUCCCAUUAAAUAUUUUAUAGUUACCAGUUUUACAAUUUAUUUAUGCCACCAUUUAAUAUAAUGUGUUUGUGAAGUUAUUUUUAAAAGGAAAAAUUACUUUUAAAUAAACUUUCCAAGUUUAUUUUAAUUAGAAUUUAUAAAAAAAAAAAAUUAUUAUUAAAUACUUUAUUUUAGAUAACUAUAAUUAUAUAUUUUCAAUUAUAUUUUGUUUUGAAUUAAAAAAACUAUUAUCAAAUAUUUUAUUUUCAAAAAGUUAAUAUUUUUAACACAUGUCACAAUCUUAUAUUUUAGUCGUCAUGUGUCAUGAUCAUGUUAAUUAGCAACUUUGAAAAACCAAGCUUUAUAUAAUAAGAUUUGUUAUUAUUAUUCAUACUUAUUUGUAUUAAAGAGAUAUUUUUCAUUAAAGGUCAAAAGACUCUUCUACCCUUACUUUAUAGAUAUAUAAUUAUAAAUAGUUAUUUAAAUAAAUAAUGAAAAUUAAAAUAUUUUUAUAGUUUUUGAAUAUACAUUUUCAAAUUUAAACUUUUUUUUUAAAAAAAAAUUGUGUUUAUAUAAAAAAUUGUGUUUAAAAAUAUUUUUAUAGUUUUCAAUUUUUUUUUUAAAAUCUAAAAUUCUUUUUGAAACUAUUUUUAAAAUUUUUUAUUUUAAAUAUUAAGUAUUUAUUUAUAUAUUUACUGAAAUCAUAAACUUUAUCUUCCAAAAGUCACAUCUCAAAUCUAAACCCUAAGUUUAUAUUAAAUUAUUCUUAUGUAUAUAGAGGGAUAAUUAUAUAUAUGUAAUAUAUAUAAAUAAAUAUAUCUAUCAAUAUUUUGAAAAUGUUUACAUGAUCUCUAAUAUUCUAAAAUAUUUAUUUUUCUUUGAAAAUUUAGUUUUUGUAUGUUUCUCAUACAACAUUUAAUCGAGUACUCAUUUGGUAUCAGUAAAACAUAAACAUAAGUUCUUAUGUGGUGACACAUAUUAACAAAAUUUACAAUUAUAGAAAAUGUAAUUUUUUAACUAAACACUAAUAAAUUAAAACUAAUAAACUUUAUAUGUUACCGAUAAGGUUAUAUUAACAAAAUCCAAAAUAUAUAACCUUUUUAUACCAAAAAUAUAGACAUAAUCUUUUCAUGACAUAUAAGAGAAUUUUUUUUAUAUAAUUCUAAUAAGAUGAUAUCAAAUUUUUGUGUCGAUGAUGAUUAUCAUAUUUUUCUUAAUAUUAUUAAAAUUAUUUAUUAAAACCAUGGAUUUAUCUAUAUCAUGAAAAUAUUUUUUUAUAAAAUAAUAAAUAAGAUAAUAUGAAAUAGUUGUGUAGAUGAAAUAUUAUAAUUAUCAUGUUUCCAAAACUGUGUAAUUAUUAAAAAUAUUUAUAAAAACCAUGUACUAUGUCUCAAAUUAAGGAUAACCGACAAAUGAGCUAGGGCUGGGCAAAAAAAAACGAAUCCAAAGAACUGAACCGAAUCCGAUCUGAAAGAGUAGUACAAAACCUGAACCGAAAUUGAUUAAAAAUUCGAACAGGUUCAAAAUUUUGGUAUCUAAAGAACCGAAUCCGAACCCGACCCAAACCGAAGUAUUUCGGGUAUCCGAGUGUAUCCGAAAUAGAUUAUAUACCUAAAUAUAUUAGUUAUUUUUUGAUUUAAUGUACACUAAAAAUAUCCAAAAUAUAUAAGAUACUUUUAAGUUGUCUACAAUAUUUGAAAAUAUAUACAAAUAGUCAAAAGUAAAUGUCUAAAAUAGCUAAAAUAUAUUGAGCACACCAAAAAUACUAUAAACUAGGUGAUUUUCCCGUGCUCAUGCACAAGUAUAAAUAUUUAUAAAGUAAAUAUAUUAUUAUAAUUUAUUAAUAUUUUGUUUUUAAUUUUUAAUUAUUAUGUUAUUUAUAUUGUUAUCAAAAUGCAUGGCGUAUUUUAAAUAAAUUUUUGUUAUUUUAGUUAGUCAAUUAGACGUAUAAUUUUGGAUAUAUAAUAUCUCGACAGUUUGGUUAUUAUUUGGAUAUAUUAGAUAACAUUUACUUUUCCGAUUCAACUAAAAUAUUUUUGUUACACAGAUUAAAAUUUUAAUUAAUUUUGUUAUUUCAUGUAGUUUGACUCCUGUUUUAGAUUCGUAAAUAUAUUUUAGUAAAAUUAUGUAUAUUUUAAAAUAUGUUGUUUUGAAAAUCAAAUAGUUAAGUACACUAAAGUGUUGAUGGAUUCAAAGUCACAUAAAUAAAUAUAAAAAUUAUAGUCUUUGACACUUAAUUCAUAUAUAUAUAAAUAUAUAUAGAAGUUAUACAAAAUACUUAAUUGUAAUAGUUGGUUAACAUAUUUAUAAUAUUAUUUUAGAAUUUCAUAUUUAUUUGGUAAGAUAGUGAGUAGUUCCAUAAUUUAUAUGUACAAAAUAUUUUAUAAAUAAAAUAUAUGAUUUUUUAUUUUAUUUUUGACUUUGUAUAAAAAAUUUAGAUUGGUCAAGUUACUCAAUUUUAUGGGUAUAUUGUGUUACAUAUAUUCCGUCAAAUUCAAGUAUAACUAUUUCUAAUCUAAUUCAACCAAAUUGUAUUAACUGUAUUCAUUAUAUUAGUUUAGUUUUUAAUAUUAGAUGUGUAAAUAUAUUUUUGAUUUCUUAGUAAUUUGUAUAUUUUAAUUUGCAAAACAAAAAAAAUUUAAAAAUAAAGAGAUGAUAGGUACAAAGUUGCAUAAAAAUAUAACCGAUAAAUUUUAAAAGGGAGGAUUAAUUAUUUACUUUAAUAUCAAGCUUAUUUUUCAAAGCUUUUCGUUUUUUAUGAAAUCACAUUAUAUAUAUUAAAUAUUUUCGUUUUAAGUUUUAUAAAUAUUUUCUUUAUCAUAUAUGUUAUUUGAAAAAUAUAAAAAGGAAACUAAAUAAAAAAAAGAUUAAACUAAAUUUUAUUCAUUAAAUAUAUCUUAGUUUCUGUUAUUUAAAUUAUUUUGUAAUAAAAUGAGAAAUAGUUUGAUUUAAAUAAAAUGCUUAAAUUUUAAAAUAUGUAUUAUGUUGUUUAAAAUUAUCUUUUUAAAGGGGAGAUAAUUUCUUUACUUUAAAAUCAUGAUUUUUUGUGAACUUUCCUUAUUAUGAAUUACACUAUAUAUAAAAGAUAUUUUCGCUUUUAAAAUUUUAAAAAAAAAUUAUUAUAUAGGUUAUUUGAAAAAAAUAAAGAAAAAGGAAACCUAAAUAAAAAAGAAAAAAAUAAAUAAUAUAAAAUAAAUAUUUAAUAGUAAUAAUUAGAUAUAUCUAAUUCAUUAAGGGUAUCAUCGUAAUCAACCACCGUGAGAAUUAACGUGAGUGCGACACAUAGGAAACUUACUUCUCAAAUAAUAUUAUAGAGAUAUCUAUUGAUUUUCUAUCAAAAUAUUAAAACCAAACCAAUUUUUUUUCCUUAACCAAACCAAUUUAUAUGUUUAGUUUAGGUAUUGUAACAUAUGUUAUUCAAAUUUAUAUGUGAUAUUUUAUUUUAUUAAUAGAUUUUGAGAAAUUUAAAAUAUAUAAUGAAUUAUAAAAAUUUAAAAAUCAUUUAAAUAGAUUAUCCAAACCCGAAUCGAACUCGCAAAUAUCUGAACCGAAUCCGAACUGAAAUUUAGAAAUACCCGAAUGAGGCUAAAAUCUUUGAUUCCGAAAACUCGAAACUCAAAUAGAUCCAAACCGAACCCGAAUGGGUACCUGAACGCGCACCCUUAAAAUGGGCAAAACAUUCCUCAAAUAAUAGUAUAAAAAAGUAGAUAUAUAGAUAAUUGUGAAUCAAAUUUUACAACAGUAAUAAAUUUCAACGCGUUGAUAGGAAACAACCUAGUCCUCAUUAAAAAAAAAGAAGUAAGUCGUAAUAAACAACCUAGUAGGUCGUUUGUUUCGUAUUAACUUUUCUUUUGUCUGUGAUUCACAAAAUAUAGCAUAGACAAUCAUGCCGCAGAGAGAGGAAUAGAAACCAGAAGUCUUUACGACAAAUCAUCAAGGUGGAGAAAAGUUACCAUAGUCAAUCAAUGUCCCUUUUGAUCUUAUGGUCGAGAUACUCUCGAGACUACCUGUGAAAACACUUGCGAGGUUCCGAUAUGUAUCUAAACUAUGGUUAUCUAGUAUCAUUACCGAGUCGAUCAAAACUAGGUCUUUGGCUCAUCCACGCCAGCUUGUCGUUUUCUACCAAUCUUCAUCAUAUAUCUCCUCGAAUACUUAUCCUCUUAACACUAACACAAGAUUCGUAGACAGAGAUAGUUGUCGUACACUAUUACAACGCAGCUACUCCAUCUAUGGAUAUGUCCGAGGGUUAAUAUGUUAUUUCACAAAUUCUAAUCUGUAUGCGAUAUACAACCCUACCACGAGACAAAACGUUUUGUUGCCCCUGGUCGGAUACUCUAAAGAAAACAAAGCCUUAGACGAUGAAUUUUCUUCGUUAGAUCCAGCUGGGAAAUGUUACUUUGUCCCGGACGAAUACCAUCAUGGAUUCUUUGGAUAUGAUUCAGUUAAGAAUCUGUAACGCCCGCCCGUCCACGGCUAAUGAACCAUCCACAUCCGCUCACUCAAUCCGUGGGCUCCAUCCUAUCACAAUGCGUUAAUUUUUCGAAUGCCCGAAAGUCUUGUUUACUAACCCUGCAAUCACCAUCUGACCUUUUCUCGUGCUUUAGCCUUACUCACAUGGUAUCACGAAUCACUUCCCGAUAGGUCUCACAUCUUUCCACUAUUUCAGUCCAAGCACGCUUAACUCUGAAGUUCUAAAUGGAUGUGUGACGGAAAGUGUAAGUCAACUUUGAUGACAUAGAUAGCCAAAUCAAUUCUCUUAACCUUUUUUCAUAUGUCACAACUCGGGAUGUUACAAAAUCAAUACAAAGUCUUGUGCUUUGUUGAAGGGGAAAGAAUUUGCGAUUAUUCUUGUAAGGUUAUAACAUUUGGAGGUGGUCGGUCUAAGUAUAAAAGACUGGAGAAAGAUUGAAAUUCAAGACGAUAUCCCUCCACCGAGGAGUAAUGGUGUGUGCAUCAAUGGAAUUAUCUAUUACCUAGGAGGCACAUUAACAAGUAGUAGUGUAUUGGUAUUAGGGAGGUUCGACGUUAGGUUUGAGAGAUUUUACCAUAUCCAGAUGCCCAUAGAUGUGGAGAUGAAUCAGUUGGAGGAGUUGAGUUAAGUAACCUACCAAGGGAAACUAGGAUGCACGUUUUACAGCAAAGAUAGAGCAGAGGUGUGGGUUAUGAAAGAUCAUGGCGGCGAGAAACAUGAAUGGUCUAAGGUUACGAUUGACAUGUCUCUUCCUGAUAUGUUAAAGACUCUUGUAGCUGGUGUCACUCUUGAUGGUGAGAUUGUGAUAAUGCCCAAGACAUUGGAUUCUGCUCAAACGUUGUUAUACGCAUACUUUUACAACCCCAAGGAAAACAAAACUAGAAGAGUUGAGUUUGAAACCACAGCACUGAAGGGGGAGCGAGGAGUUUGUAUCUUAAGUGAGCCGGAUCACAUGGAAAAUGCUAUGUCCUUGCUCGGGAGCCAAUUUAACAAGAAGCCAGUGAGGCCACUAUAUGUUUUGAAGAAGAAAUCAGUGACCACAUUGCGACUCAUGUACAGUGCUGCAGCUGAUGUUUUCUCCUGUAACAAAUCAUUCUUGUCUCCCAAGAAACUAUUAGGUCUAGCUUUUUUAUGUGUCGCUCUUGUUCUAGCAACAACAUUUCAAACAUGGCUUAUGUCUUUAUUUGACUCAUUCCGCUUUUAGUUUUUUUCUUUCUCUAAAGCUCAAUGUAAACUUACUUUGUUGGGUGGCUUCUUUGGUUAUAUCCCGCUUGAAUAUCAAAAUUAGGUUUUUUGCAUGAUUAGAGGGUCACAAACCUUUGCUGGUCAUCAUCGUGAUAAUUAAACAAGAAUAAUUUAAGAUUACACUUGUCAUGUCCACUCAUCAUCAACUAAAUACUCGUAGUCUAGUAUCAUUGGUGUUAGUCGUAGUGGUGAGAUUGUAAUGAUGGUAUCUAUUUUUGCAAAUUAUUUUUAUGUUUAACUAUAAAAUACAAAAAACAAAUUGAUUAUAUUAAGUACGAUUUAGUAGAAGAAACACUUUUGCAAACUAUGUACAAUUUAGUACUUUAAAUUAAGGGUGUUCAGUCCGGUAAAAAUGGAAGCGAAAUAAAGAAAGUAGUUUAUAUUUAAUAAUAUUGUAUAAAUCAAAUAAAUGUUAUUUUAAAAACCGUGGUAUAUAAAUAUAGUUCAGUAUAUAAAUUGAUUAAACCAAAUAAACCGAUUAAUUAAAACAGUGUAAUAUAAUUAUAUGUUAAACCUAAUAUUGUAAUAUAAGUAUAUGUUAAACCUAGUAUAAUCUACUAGUUUUUUUCUCUCUUUAAUUAAAGCUCAAUAUAAACUUACUUUGUUAAUUGUUGCAUGUCUUCUUUAGUUAUAUCCCGUUUGAAUAUAUAAAAAAAAGAAGGUGUUUGCAUCAUUAAAGGGUCACAAAACUUUGAAACUUUGAAGAUUACACUGGUCAUCAUCGCGAUAAACAAGAAUAGUUUAAGAUUACACUUGUCAUGUCCACUUAUCAUCAACUAAAUACUCGUAGUCUCGUAUCAUUGGUGUUGGUCGUAAUGGUGAGAUUGUAAUGGUGCACAAGACAUUAGAUUUUUCCGAUCAAAGGUUGCAAGGCCAUCUGCAUUAGAGAUCUUAGAGUCAUUAUAAAAAUAUAUAUAAGUAAUAGUAUUUAAAUGUGAGAGUAUUUCGAAAAUUUGUUGAAAUCCUUUUGAAAGAUUUUUUUUUUAAUUUUUAAUAGACUUUCCAAAUAUUACACUUGGGUUAAGAAUCAAGUUUGUAAUCUUUAUUAAUUUAACCGGGAAAUUUGUUUUCCGAAAGAUCUGAUCGAUGACCUGAAAGAUAUUGUUACUAUUACGAUCCAGGGGGGAUCAAUUUUUGCAAAUUAUUUUUAUGUUUAACUAUAAAAUACAAAAAAAAAACAAAUUGAUUAUAUUAGGUACGAUUUAGUAGAAGAAACACUUUUGCAAACUAUGUACAAUUUAGUACUUUAAAUUAAGGGUGUUCAGUCCGGUAAAAAUGGAAGCGAAAUAAAGAAAGUAGUUUAAAUUUAAUAAUAUUGUAUAAAUCAAAUAAAUAUUAUUUUAAAAACCGUGGUAUAUAAAUAUAGUUCAGUAUAUAAAUUGAUUAAACCAAAUAAACCGAUUAAUUAAAACAGUGUAAUAUAAUUAUAUGUUAAACCUAAUAUUGUAAUAUAGUUAUAUGUUAAACCUAGUAUAAUCUACUAGUUUUUUUUCUCUUUAAUUAAAGCUCAAUAUAAACUUACUUUGUUAAUUGUUGCGUGUCUUCUUUGGUUAUAUCCCGUUUGAAUAAUAAAAAAAAAAGGUGUUUGCAUCAUUAGAGGGUCACAAAACUUUGAAACUUUGAAGAUUACACUGGUCAUCAUCGCGAUAAACAAGAAUAGUUUAAGAUUACACUUGUCAUGUCCACUUAUCAUCAACUAAAUACUCGUAGUCUCGUAUCAUUGGUGUUGGUCGUAAUGGUGAGAUUGUAAAGAUGCACAAGACAUUAGAUUUUGCCGAUCAAAGGUUGCAAGGCCAUCUGCAUUAGAGAUCUUAGUGGGGGUUAUUGGUUGGUGUAUUUUGAUGGAUUUGAAAAUCCAAACUAAAUCUAGUGUUAUUGGUUCUAUGAUUUUAAAAUAUGAAUUGAAAUCAUGUGUUAUUCGUUUAAUGAUUCAUAAAUUCUAAUUCAAAUCAAGUGUUAUUCGUUUAAUGAUUCAUAAAUUCUAAUUCAAAUCAAGUGUUAUUCAAUCAUACGGAUUUACUAAUAGAUUUGAUUUCAUAAUGUAUUUGAAUGGAUUUGCAUGGAUUUCUUUGUGAAAAAUACAAAGACCCAAAUCAGAAGGAAAACCUACGGAUUUGUAAAUACUAAUUCGAGAAAAAUUUGAAAAUUUGUAUAUUUUACUUGGAUUUAUAAAUACUAUAUGGAUUUCUAAAUCAAUAAAAAUAUAUAAACCAAUAACACCUCCUAGAGUCAUUAUAAAAAUAUAUAUAAGUAAUAGUAUUUAAAUGUGAGAGUAUUUCGAAAAUUUGUUGAAAUCCUUUUGAAAGAUUUUUUUUUUAAUUUUUAAUAGACUUUCCAAAUAUUACACUUGGGUUAAGAAUCAAGUUUGUAAUCUUUAUUAAUUUAACCGGAAAAUUUGUUUUUCGAAAGAUCUGAUCGAUGACCUGAAAGAUAUUGUUACUAUUACGAUCCAGGGGGGAUCAAUUUUUGCAAAUUAUUUUUAUGUUUAACUAUAAAAUACAAAAAAAAAACAAAUUGAUUAUAUUAGGUACGAUUUAGUAGAAGAAACACUUUUGCAAACUAUGUACAAUUUAGUACUUUAAAUUAAGGGUGUUCAGUCCGGUAAAAAUGGAAGCGAAAUAAAGAAAGUAGUUUAAAUUUAAUAAUAUUGUAUAAAUCAAAUAAAUAU
Molecule: long non-coding RNA, 10070 nt
Organism: Brassica rapa (field mustard)
Lineage: Eukaryota; Viridiplantae; Streptophyta; Magnoliopsida; Brassicales; Brassicaceae
Source: RefSeq, a predicted model, not a curated record